Syngnathoides biaculeatus (alligator pipefish) is the source of this 454-nucleotide long non-coding RNA. RefSeq lists it as uncharacterized. The transcript is spliced from 3 exons. Lineage: Eukaryota; Metazoa; Chordata; Actinopteri; Syngnathiformes; Syngnathidae. The record is from RefSeq and is a predicted model, not a curated record.
GGAGACGUAAGAAUGAAUAAAUAAAAGUAGUGAACGGCAUGUCCAUCAUUGUAAUGGAGUAAAAUUAAGGAUCAUUCUUCUCAUAAACGCUCAAGUAAUAGUAAAAGAACAAGACUUCGAAACGCUACGUUCGUGACCGUCUCACCCUGUGUGCCCACGACUACGAAAGGUAUCUCGGUGACAGGCCGGUGGACAGCAAGCUGGUGGUAGAUCUUGUACACUUCCUGGAAACUGGCCUCGUUUUCCAAACUGAAGACCAGGAUAACCGCGUCCAGCCAGCUUGCAAACUGAAAGGAGGCAGACAAGGUGAGGCAAUUGAGGAGUGUUUCACACUUAUGUCGAUCUGCAGCCAAUUUGGAGUUCAGUGUAUCGCCCAAGGACACUUCAACAGUGGCCAUUCGAAUUCCCAGCCCUUUGCUCAGUUGACCACCCCAGAAUUAGAAAAAAACAUCUU